RNAcentral lists this transfer RNA (64 nucleotides) under Rattus norvegicus (Norway rat). It matches the Rfam family "tRNA". From Rfam's summary of the family: Transfer RNA (tRNA) molecules are approximately 80 nucleotides in length. The record is from Rfam by way of RNAcentral. Lineage: Eukaryota; Metazoa; Chordata; Mammalia; Rodentia; Muridae.
GGGGAUUUAGCUCAGUGGUAGAGCGCUUGCCUAGCAAGUACAAGGCCCUGGGGUUCAGUCCUCA